Molecule: ribosomal RNA, 427 nt
Filed under: uncultured bacterium
Lineage: Bacteria
Description: partial 16S ribosomal RNA
Rfam family: Bacterial small subunit ribosomal RNA
Source: RNAcentral
UGGGGAAUAUUGCACAAUGGGCGCAAGCCUGAUGCAGCCAUGCCGCGUGUAUGAAGAAGGCCUUCGGGUUGUAAAGUACUUUCAGCGAGGAGGAAGGCGUUGUGGUUAAUAACCGCAGCGAUUGACGUUACUCGCAGAAGAAGCACCGGCUAACUCCGUGCCAGCAGCCGCGGUAAUACGGAGGGUGCAAGCGUUAAUCGGAAUUACUGGGUGUAAAGCGCACGCAGGCGGUCUGUCAAGUCGGAUGUGAAAUCCCUGGGCUCAACCUGGGAACUGCAUCCGAAACUGGCAGGCUAGAGUCUUGUAGAGGGGGGUAGAAUUCCAGGUGUAGCGGUGAAAUGCGUAGAGAUCUGGAGGAAUACCGGUGGCGAAGGCGGCCCCCUGGACAAAGACUGACGCUCAGGUGCGAAAGCGUGGGGAGCAAACA